RNAcentral lists this ribosomal RNA (471 nucleotides) under uncultured organism. Its description in RNAcentral is "partial 16S ribosomal RNA". It matches the Rfam family "Bacterial small subunit ribosomal RNA", at positions 334 to 797 of the family's 1533-position model. The record is from RNAcentral.
CACUCCUGCGGGAGGCAGCAGUGGGGAAUAUUGCACAAUGGGCGCAAGCCUGAUGCAGCCAUGCCGCGUGUAUGAAGAAGGCCUUCGGGUUGUAAAGUACUUUCAGCGGGGAGGAAGGCGAUAAGGUUAAUAACCUUGUCGAUUGACGUUACCCGCAGAAGAAGCACCGGCUAACUCCGUGCCAGCAGCCGCGGUAAUACGGAGGGUGCAAGCGUUAAUCGGAAUUACUGGGCGUAAAGCGCACGCAGGCGGUCUGUCAAGUCGGAUGUGAAAUCCCCGGGCUCAACCUGGGAACUGCAUUCGAAACUGGCAGGCUAGAGUCUUGUAGAGGGGGGUAGAAUUCUAGGUGUAGCGGUGAAAUGCGUAGAGAUCUGGAGGAAUACCGGUGGCGAAGGCGGCCCCCUGGACAAAGACUGACGCUCAGGUGCGAAAGCGUGGGGAGCAAACAGGAUUAGAAACCCCAGUAGUCCC